Molecule: ribosomal RNA, 448 nt
Filed under: Burkholderia sp. oral taxon 406
Lineage: Bacteria; Pseudomonadati; Pseudomonadota; Betaproteobacteria; Burkholderiales; Burkholderiaceae
Description: bacterial SSU rRNA
Rfam family: Bacterial small subunit ribosomal RNA
Source: RNAcentral
AUUGAACGCUGGCGGCAUGCCUUACACAUGCAAGUCGAACGGCAGCAUGAUCUAGCUUGCUAGAUUGAUGGCGAGUGGCGAACGGGUGAGUAAUACAUCGGAACGUGCCCUGUAGUGGGGGAUAACUAGUCGAAAGAUUAGCUAAUACCGCAUACGACCUGAGGGUGAAAGUGGGGGACCGCAAGGCCUCAUGCUAUAGGAGCGGCCGAUGUCUGAUUAGCUAGUUGGUGAGGUAAAGGCUCACCAAGGCGACGAUCAGUAGCUGGUCUGAGAGGACGAUCAGCCACACUGGGACUGAGACACGGCCCAGACUCCUACGGGAGGCAGCAGUGGGGAAUUUUGGACAAUGGGGGCAACCCUGAUCCAGCAAUGCCGCGUGUGUGAAGAAGGCCUUCGGGUUGUAAAGCACUUUUGUCCGGAAAGAAAUCGCACUUACUAAUAUUAGGUG